RNAcentral lists this ribosomal RNA (370 nucleotides) under Lautropia mirabilis. Its description in RNAcentral is "bacterial SSU rRNA". It matches the Rfam family "Bacterial small subunit ribosomal RNA", at positions 119 to 487 of the family's 1533-position model. The record is from RNAcentral. Lineage: Bacteria; Pseudomonadati; Pseudomonadota; Betaproteobacteria; Burkholderiales; Burkholderiaceae.
CGGAACGUGCCCAGUAGUGGGGGAUAAGCUCCGCGAAAGCCGGAUUAAUACCGCAUACGACCUGAGGGUGAAAGCGGGGGAUCUUCGGACCUCGCGCUAUUGGAGCCGCCGAUGGCAGAUUAGCUAGUUGGUGGGGUAAAGGCCUACCAAGGCGACGAUCUGUAGCUGGUCUGAGAGGACGACCAGCCACACUGGGACUGAGACACGGCCCAGACCCUACGGGAGGCAGCAGCGGGGAAUUUUGGACAAUGGGCGAAAGCCUGAUCCAGCAAUGCCGCGUGUGUGAUGAAGGCUUCGGGUUGUAAAGCACUUUUGGCGGGAACGAAAAGGACUGUGCCAAUACCACGGUUCGAUGACCGACCCGCAGAAU